GACGAACGCUGGCGGCGUGCUUAACACAUGCAAGUCGAACGGAAAGGCCCUGCUUUUGUGGGGUGCUCGAGUGGCGAACGGGUGAGUAACACGUGAGUAACCUGCCCUUGACUUUGGGAUAACUUCAGGAAACUGGGGCUAAUACCGGAUAGGAGCUCCUGCUGCAUGGUGGGGGUUGGAAAGUUUCGGCGGUUGGGGAUGGACUCGCGGCUUAUCAGCUUGUUGGUGGGGUAGUGGCUUACCAAGGCUUUGACGGGUAGCCGGCUUGAGAGGGUGACCGGCCACAUUGGGACUGAGAUACGGCCCAGACUCCUACGGGAGGCAGCAGUGGGGAAUAUUGCACAAUGGGCGGAAGCCUGAUGCAGCAACGCCGCGUGCGGGAUGACGGCCUUCGGGUUGUAAACCGCUUUCGCCUGUGACGAAGCGUGAGUGACGGUAAUGGGUAAAGAAGCACCGGCUAACUACAUG
RNAcentral lists this ribosomal RNA (468 nucleotides) under uncultured bacterium. RNAcentral describes it as "partial 16S ribosomal RNA". It matches the Rfam family "Bacterial small subunit ribosomal RNA", at positions 28 to 507 of the family's 1533-position model. The record is from RNAcentral.